GUUGUCGUCGAAAGAACUGGUGGGAUUUCGUGAAGGCCAUUUGAUGCCGCUUUGGAACUGGCUUUGGGAAGGCUGGGGCAAGCUUGGCGGAUUUCCAGGAACUCCUUAUGAGUCUGCAUCCCGAGGAACCAACCAAGUCCAGUCAGAAAGAUCACAAGGCAGGUUUUAUGUUUUUUUAAAGCGAGGCUUUGGUUUUCUGGGAAGAGUGCAUUCUUCGAGAUGCUCCCACCGAGAGUUCCUCGUGGCGGGGGCGUGAAGGCGUCAGGCAGGGAGUGUGGGAAGAGCCCCUUGUGUGUUUCAUCUGCAAGUGAGGUAGGGUGUGGGGGGUCUUUGCUAAAUCUUGUUUCUUAGGUACCUUUACCAUACACUGAUCAGAGUCUAAGUAUAUCGUUUCGACUUGGUUUGUAAUUAUAACCACAUUUGGAUGUCUCUGUACUGUUUUCCACAAUUACUUAACCACCGUGGGGAAAAUGCAAAGGGAAUAAUGUUUCAUCUUCACUGCAGCGAUGAGCAGGUAACUCAAAACAAAAAAAUGCAGAGAGUUUCUCAGCUUUGAUUGAAUCCAUCAGUCCCUUGAGGGAAACCAACUGGAGGAAGACAAGCGAUCCCAGAAGGUGAUGGGGUCUUCUCAUGAGAGCUGGCCACCCGUCUGACCUGCCCGCAGUUACGACCCUCUCUGCCGCUGCAGCGGCAGCCAGAGUUGAGGCUUUUUCUCUGUGGUUCAUGUGACCUUGUGUUCCCAGUAUUUACCAAAUAUUUUACAUAGUUUUCCAAAAAAUUUCCUCCUUCAUUUCCCACAGUGUACACAUUCAGACCAUAAAAGGACCUAUUGAGAUCAAUGUUAAAAUUUCACAAAUGACAGUGUCUCUUAAUGAUGGGUUUUUCGCUUUGGAUUUACAGGGGCUGAGAGUAGUUUAAUGGUAGGCUCAGUUUUUCUAAAUCUUUGACAUUUUCCAUUUGCUUCCUCGAGAUAAUCCGCCUUGAUGGAGAGGGCUUCACAACAUUGACUUCCUUAACCUCAAUAGUCAUUAGUUGAGCAAGUACUUCUUGCAGUCACUUUUUUCUGUACUGUGGAGGAUACCAAAUUAAAAGAAGGGGACUUCUCAGAUGUAGUGCCCGCUUUCUAGACUCUUCCAUGGGUCUAGAUGGGAGGAAUGGGGAGGAGAACUAGCAGAUUGUAGUGUACGCUCCAUUGGAGGUAGACAGAAACAUGGGACUCUCGGGGUCCAGUACAUUCACUCCGUCUGGAUGGGCUUGAGGAAGGCUUGUGGAUGGGGCAUUUGAACUUGGCAUUGCAUUAUUAUUGGAUAGAAAUAGGCAGAUGGAGAGGGGUGGGAAGGCAUUUUAAAUAAUGGCAACGGCUUAAGUGAAGGUUCGAAUGUGGACCAGCACGUGGCAUUUGUUGGGAGAAGGGGACGGAUGAGUUGUUCAGUGUAGGAGAUUGUGGUCUUAGCCAGAGAAGCUGUAGUAGAAGAUGGGGUGUUUACUGGAGUCCAUAUGUGUGCUGAGUAUCCUCUUGCCAUUUAGGUACCAGCGAGAACUCAAAAAAUCUGUCAAAGACAAAAACUAAAAAAACAGCAACAGUAUAUAUGAUGGUUAAGAAGGCAAGAUUUUGAAGCGGGAUUGCCUGGGUUUGAAAUCUGAAUAGCUUUGUGACCUUGGGUAGGUUAUUUGGUCUCUCUGAUGGCCCAGGUUCCUCACAUCUACUUAGGGGUUUAUGGCAAGGAUUAAAUGACUAGUAUGUGAAGUAUUCAGGACAGUGCCUGGCAUAUAGUAGAGCAGGGUACAAGUAUCAGCAACUUGAAGUAGCAGUAGUUAGUGGUAAGAGCAGUGAUGGCAUCACUAUUUGGGUAUAAUGUGCAGUUAGAUUUUUUUUUUCCUCUGAGAAAGAUUAGAUUGGUCUUUCUGUAGAUUACUUAUUCUGUGUAAUUUCGCAUUAGUCAAACUGUAGCAUCCCAGGCCUGAAAGCGCACGAAGACUCUCAUGGAGUCUUGAAUGCACCUGUCUGGAUACCGAGAACCCAUGCGCUUUGCCUUGCAGCUGUCUAGUUACUGACGGCUUCCUGGCAUGCAGCCCAGUUGGGAAGGUUGAUUGGUUGUCUAGCUUAUCACUGGUGUGUGUGUAAUGGAAUAAAUAAGGAAGAAAAUGAAAUUGUGUGUAUCUAUAAAGUGUUUUGGGUGCCAGCAGCAGAAACUGACUGUGGCUAACUUUUCAGCCUUGGAGAACUUACUCGAAGGCUGUUGAAAACUCCUAGAGUGGGUGGAAUGCGGGCACCAAACUUGAGAAAAGGCAAGGACUAAGCAGCAUGGGUGCCCGGGAAGCACAGCAGCCGUUUCAUAGGCAAAUGUCCUGGUCCACGUAGCCCCGUCAGUGUCACUGUGACUUAGGACAGCUGCCUUCCAACCCUGACAUUGCUUCAUGUGACUGCCCUGUUACAAAGGCAAAGGGGUCAGAAUCCAUUAUGGAACAGCCGUGGGAUGCCCUGUGGCCCUUAAACAUUUCAUGCAAUAGUAUUUAAUGACAUGGAAACUGUUCGCACAUGCUAUUUAAGUGAAAAUGGCAGGUAGCAAAACUGUAUGGGUAGGAUAAUGAUAUUUAAACAUGCAAUGAAGUAGCUGCUAUUACUCUUCUUUUUGAAAGACAGGCGUGGAGCUCCGGACGCACUUUGCCCAAGAUCACAUGGCUAGUGAGUGGGGAGGCAGGAUUUAAACCUGGAGUUAGCCCCCAGAACGAGGCACUUGGCCCCUUGAUGGCAUGCUCUCUGACAAAGAAAGACUAAUUGAAAACAGUCGUAGGGGGGUUCCCUUCGUGGCUCACCGGUUAAUGAACCCGACUAGGAUCCAUGAGGAUGUGGGUUCGAUCCCUGCCCUCGCCAAGUGGGUUAAGGAUCCGGCUCAGCUGUGAGCUGUGGUUUAGAUCAAAGAUGCGGCUCGCAUCUGGCAUUGCUGGGACUGUGGUGUAGGUUGGCAGCUACAGCUCUGAUUAGACCCCUAGCCUGGGAACUUCCAUAUACCGCUGGUACGGCCCUAAAAAGCAAAAAACCCAAAAAACACAAAAACAGUAAUAGGGGUUAUAGCUAGGUGGUUGAGGUUAAGAGUGCUUUUAUUAUUUACUCUAAUUUCUUCCUUUUUUCGUCUUUUGUCUUUUUAGGUCCGCUUCCGCAGCAUAUGGAGGUUUCUAGGCUGGGGUCUAAUUGGAGCUGUGGCCACUGGCCUAUGCCAGAGCCACAGCAACGCCAGGUAGGAGCCGUGUCUGCGACCUACACCACAGCUCACGGCAACACUGGAUCCUUAACCCACUGAGCGAGGCCAGGGAUCGAACCCGCAACCUCGUGGUUCCUAGUCAGAUGUGUUUCAGGUGCGUCACGAUGGGAACCCCUCACUCAAAUUUCUAUGAGUGUUUGUUCCGUCUAUAGUGACCAAACUGAUUAAGUUACUGUAAACGUGUAAAGUUUUAGAAGAGUUUUCUUCCAGCUCUGUGUCCAGAAAUACUCACUGCAAUUAUGCUAUAAAUGUGUAACCAGAAAUCUCAGAAGUUAUCUGCAUUAAUACAUGCGCUUCCUCUUUGAACUUGCGUGUGUCCUGCGGUGUGUGUUGCCAUGAAUAGGGCAAGUGAUUACCAUCAUCAAAACCAGGAACUAUUAUCGGGACUUUAAACUCAGGGUUGCUGCAUUUUCAGGAUUAUAUCAAAGCAUUGGCGAGAUAGUUUGAGUUUUAAGUGGGAAGAUUUACAUCUGUGAAGCUUUUUAAGAUUUGUGUGUGUCACGUCCUGGCACAAGUUUCUCGUUUGUAGUCUGGUUGUGAAAAGACUCGGGUUUGCAUAUGUAUAUGCAAAAUACUCUUGAGUCAUAGAUUCACAUGAGUAAUAGACAUUAUAGCCAUAUCAGCUUUCUGCUUUGUCAUGUGGUAGCAUGAAGGCCAUGCAUUUAUUUCAGUCUUUGGAAUAGCAAACACUGAAUUUGCAAAAUGGGAUGAGUUUUAAAUAAUCGCCCCAACUUUUUUUUUUUUUUUUACUUUCCAAAAACUACUUUGUUGGAACAAAAAUUGGUAUUUCAUUUCACAGGAAGUCAGGGAAAAGGCCCUCGUGUGCGUGCAUAGAGGUGCAUGUAUAUGGUGCUGGGUGGUGGCUGCGCCUUGUGAGAAAAUUAAGAGCACCGCGUCUCCCACUUCUCACCCUUCUCGUUAAUAAGCCUCACAUCUGAAGCCUCGGGACCUGUGACAUGAGUCAUUUUAUGCACCACUAAAAGAGAAAAAAAUGCUGUGAAUUAAAUGACAACGCUAUCUUAUUAUUUAUAAUUUGUGUGUGUCUUUUAGGGCUGCACCUGUGGCAUAUGGAUUAUUUAUAAUUUGUGUGUGUCUUUUAGGGCUGCACCUGUGGCAUAUGGAGGUUCCCAGGCUAGGGGUCCAAUCGGAGCUGAAGCCACUGGCCUACACCACAGCCACAGCGACGUAAGAGCCGAGCCGUGACUGCAACCUACACCACAGCUGGAUCCUACUGGGAGGGGCCAUGGAUCGAACCGGCGUCCUCAUGGAUCCUGAUUGGGUUCGUUAACCCCUGAGCCCUGAAGGGAACUCUGUUUCUUAUCGUCUAUAAUUUUUAUUUAUACUCCUGAAGGAGAGACUUAUUUAAGUACAGUUUUUUUUUUUAAUCAGGCUGUAUUCUUCUGCAUUAAAAUUAGAAAGUAUAAGGCAAAUCGAUUAAAGAAUUCCUAAAAUAUAUUCACAUUCAGUGCCCACCUCUUCUGAAUCACCGUCGACCCAGAACCAGCACUGUGUGUGUAUUUCCACAUCCCGAACCACAAAGAGUGUUGGCAGGGCAACUUUUUUAGAAGAGUGGUCCAUUCUUCUCUCUAAGUUUUUGAAAACUGCUUGAUUGAGAUUAAAAUUCACAUACAUACCAUACAAUGCACCCAUUUAAGAGCAGAGUUCAGUGGGUUUUGGUAUAUUACAUUAUUAAUUUUUUAAAACUGUGAUAAAAUAUAUAUAAGAAAAUUUGCUAAAAUGUAACCCCUUUGAAGUAUACUAAACUGUGGCAUGGCAUUCAUAGUGUGCUCCCAUCACCACUCUCUCUUUCCAAAACUCUCUUUCAUCACCCCGAACAAGCCCCAUAACCAUUAAGCAAUAACACUUCAUUUCCGCCUCUCCCAACCCCCUGGUAAGCUCUAGUUUAUCUUCUGUCUUUUUGUAUCUGACUUUUUUCACUAAGCGUAAUAUCUUCAGGGUUCCUUCAGGUUGUAGCAUGUGUCAGAGUUCUCUUUCAUUUUAUGGUAAAAAUAUUUCAUUCUCUGAAUAUACUAUAAUUUGCUUAUCCAUUCAUCAGUCGCUGGAAACUUGGGCUGUUUCCUCAUUGUAGCUGUUGUGACCUGUACUCCUGUGUUCAUGGGCGUGCAGGUAUCAUUGGAGGGCCUGCUUUCAGUGCCUUUGGGUACAUACCUCGGAGGAGAAUUGCAGGGUCAAGUGGUAAUUGUAGGUUUUACUGCUGGUUCUUUGGAUCUCCACACACAAGGUAAUGACACCCCCAUCCUAACUGGCACUGGCUGGUGGUCAGUGCCUCUCAACUUCAGAGAUGUUAAAUCGAAGGUCUUAGAAUUGAUAAAAUACUGUAUUUUGAUAUUCCAUAAAACUGAGUGCCUUUAAAGAUAUGGUGGGUCAACAUUGCUCUAUUAAAUGAUUUUCAUCUGAAAAUAUUCUUUAAUUUUUUUUUUUUUUGGUCUUUUUGUCUUUUCUAGUGCUGCACCCACGAUAUAUGGAGGUUCCCAGGCUAGGGAUCUAAUCGGAGCUACAGCUGCCAGCCUACACCACAGCUCACGGCAACGCCGGAUCCUUAACCCACCGAGCAAGGUCAGGGAUUGAACCCACAACCUCAUGGUUCCUAGUCGGGUUCGUUAACCACUCAGCCACAAUGGGAACUCCUCAUCUGAAUAUGUUCUUAAAGAUCAUUUUUUUAAAAAUACACUUUUCCCUUAAAAAGGAAUACAUCCUCUUUUUGUACAAUAUUUGGGAAAAAA
Molecule: long non-coding RNA, 6007 nt
Filed under: Sus scrofa (pig)
Lineage: Eukaryota; Metazoa; Chordata; Mammalia; Artiodactyla; Suidae
Description: lncRNA (ENSSSCG00065051828.1)
Source: RNAcentral